RNAcentral lists this ribosomal RNA (253 nucleotides) under uncultured bacterium. RNAcentral describes it as "partial 16S ribosomal RNA". It matches the Rfam family "Bacterial small subunit ribosomal RNA", at positions 524 to 776 of the family's 1533-position model. The record is from RNAcentral.
UACGUAGGGUGCAAGCGUUGUCCGGAAUUAUUGGGCGUAAAGAGCUCGUAGGCGGCUUGUCACGUCGACUGUGAAAACCCGGGGCUCAACUCCGGGCCUGCAGUCGAUACGGGCUGGCUUGAGUGCGGUAGGGGAGACUGGAAUUCCUGGUGUAGCGGUGAAAUGCGCAGAUAUCAGGAGGAACACCGGUGGCGAAGGCGGAUCUCUGGGCCGAUACUGACGCUGAGGAGCGAAAGCGUGGGGAGCGAACAGG